CCAGAGAACUUAGCAGAGAUGCUUUGGUGCCUUCGGGAACUCUGAGACAGGUGCUGCAUGGCUGUCGUCAGCUCGUGUUGUGAAAUGUUGGGUUAAGUCCCGCAACGAGCGCAACCCUUAUCCUUUGUUGCCAGCGGCUCGGCCGGGAACUCAAAGGAGACUGCCGGUGAUAAACCGGAGGAAGGUGGGGAUGACGUCAAGUCAUCAUGGCCCUUACGGCCAGGGCUACACACGUGCUACAAUGGCGCAUACAAAGAGAAGCGACCUCGCGAGAGCAAGCGGACCUCAUAAAGUGCGUCGUAGUCCGGAUUGGAGUCUGCAACUCGACUCCAUGAAGUCGGAAUCGCUAGUAAUCGUAGAUCAGAAUGCUACGGUGAAUACGUUCCCGGGCCUUGUACACACCGCCCGUCACACCAUGGGAGUGGGUUGCAAAAGAAGUAGGUGGCUUAACCUUCGGGAGGGCGCUUACCACUUUGUGAUUCAUGACUGGGGUGAAGUCGUAACAAGGUAAGCGUAGCGAG
This 521-nucleotide ribosomal RNA is filed under the name uncultured bacterium. Its description in RNAcentral is "bacterial SSU rRNA". It matches the Rfam family "Bacterial small subunit ribosomal RNA", at positions 988 to 1509 of the family's 1533-position model. The record is from RNAcentral.